CCCUACGGGACGCAGCAGUGGGGAAUAUUGCACAAUGGGGGAAACCCUGAUGCAGCGACGCCGCGUGAAGGAAGAAGUAUUUCGGUAUGUAAACUUCUAUCAGCAGGGAAGAAAAUGACGGUACCUGACUAAGAAGCCCCGGCUAACUACGUGCCAGCAGCCGCGGUAAUACGUAGGGGGCAAGCGUUAUCCGGAUUUACUGGGUGUAAAGGGAGCGUAGGCGGUAAUGCAAGUCAGAAGUGAAAGCCCGGGGCUCAACUCCGGGACUGCUUUUGAAACUGUGCUACUAGAUUGCAGGAGAGGUA
This 305-nucleotide ribosomal RNA is filed under the name uncultured bacterium. Its description in RNAcentral is "bacterial SSU rRNA". It matches the Rfam family "Bacterial small subunit ribosomal RNA", at positions 337 to 659 of the family's 1533-position model. The record is from RNAcentral.